CUAACAUUAGGGCAGGAACGGAAGAAGAAGAGCUUACUACAGACCGUUUUCUUCUUCACAAGAAAAUCUGCAUUUCUUCUUCAUUAAAGGGCUCCAAAUGACCAGCAGAAAGAUUGUGCGGGACUUGUUUAUCUCCAAACAACCUGUUUUCCGCCGAAUAUUAGCACCGCAACAGGUGGUUUUGGGUAGAGUUACAACAAAUUUGAGGUUUGUUGGAGCAGAUAGGUAUCUGGGUAUUCGUCAUUUCGGUGUAUUCAAUGAGUUCUCCAAGAAAGUUAAAGGCGAAGUAGACAGUAAUCAAGAAUUCCAACAGUCAGUCAAGGUGUUGAAGG
RNAcentral lists this unclassified non-coding RNA (332 nucleotides) under Hevea brasiliensis (rubber tree). Lineage: Eukaryota; Viridiplantae; Streptophyta; Magnoliopsida; Malpighiales; Euphorbiaceae. The record is from RNAcentral.